CGUGUAGGCGGCCUUUUAAGUCAGACGUGAAAUCCAUGGGCUUAACCCAUGAAUUGCGUUUGAAACUGGAGGGCUUGAGGAUCGGAGAGGGCAGUGGAAUUCCCAGUGUAGCGGUGAAAUGCGUAGAUAUUGGGAGGAACACCAGUGGCGAAGGCGACUGCCUGGACGACACCUGACGCUGAGGCGCGAAAGCUAGGGGAGCAAACGGGAUUAGAUACCCCGGUAGUCCUAGCCGUAAACGAUGGGUACUAGGUGUGGGAGGUAUCGACCCCUUCCGUGCCGCAGUUAACACAAUAAGUACCCGCCUGGGGAGUACGGCCGCAAGGUUGAA
Molecule: ribosomal RNA, 331 nt
Filed under: uncultured bacterium
Lineage: Bacteria
Description: bacterial SSU rRNA
Rfam family: Bacterial small subunit ribosomal RNA
Source: RNAcentral